UUCCGGUUGAUCCCGCCAGACCUGACUGCUAUCGGAUUGAUACUAAGCCAUGCGAGUCUUUGCAGUAAUGCAAGGCAUACGGCUCAGUAACACGUAGUCAACUUACCCUAUGGACGAGGAUAAUCUCGGGAAACUGAGCAUAAUACUCGAUAGAUCAUAAUGCCUGGAAUGGUUUAUGGUUGAAAUGAUUCGUCGCCAUAGGAUGGGACUGCGGCCUAUCAGCUUGUUGGUGAGGUAAUGGCCCACCAAGGCGAUUACAGGUACGGGCUCUGAGAGGAGAAGCCCGGAGAUGGGUACUGAGACAAGGACCCAGGCCCUAUGGGGCGCAGCAGGCGAGAAAACUUUGCAAUGUGCGAAAGCACGACAAGGUUAAUCCGAGUGAUUUCUGCUAAAGAAAUCUUUUGCAAGUCAUAAAACCACUAGUGAAUAAGGGGUGGGCAAGUUCUGGUGUCAGCCGCCGCGGUAAAACCAGCACCUCAAGUGGUCAGGAGGAUUAUUGGGCCUAAAGCAUCCGUAGCCGGCUCUGUAAGUUUUCGGUUAAAUCCAUGUGCUCAACGCAUGGGCUGCCGAAAAUACUGCAUAGCUAGGGAGUGGGAGAGGUAGACGGUACUCGGUAGGAAGGGGUAAAAUCCUUUGAUCUAUCGAUGACCACCUGUGGCGAAGGCGGUCUACCAGAACACGUUCGACGGUGAGGGAUGAAAGCUGGGGGAGCAAACCGGAUUAGAUACCCGGGUAGUCCCAGCUGUAAACGAUGCAGACUCGAUGAUGCAUUGGCAUAUAGCCAGUGCAGUGUCGCAGGGAAGCCGUUAAGUCUGCCGCCUGGGAAGUACGUACGCAAGUAUGAAACUUAAAGGAAUUGGCGGGGGAGCACCACAAGGGGUGAAGCCUGCGGUUCAAUUUG
RNAcentral lists this ribosomal RNA (901 nucleotides) under uncultured archaeon. RNAcentral's name for it is "bacterial SSU rRNA". It matches the Rfam family "Archaeal small subunit ribosomal RNA", at positions 1 to 909 of the family's 1478-position model. The record is from RNAcentral.